AUAAACUUAAUUCCUGGGUUUUUGUGUCUAACGUUUGAUCAUCCGUCUUAUUUGAAAAAAAAUAUGAAAAAUUUUAAAAAGAUAAGUCAUGCAUAAAGUAUUAUUCAUAUUUUAUCAUCUAACAAUAAUAAAAAAUAGUAAUCAUAAAAAAUAUUUCAUAUAAGACGGACGGUCAAAUGUUGGGCACGAAAACCCAAGAAUUGAGUCCUU
MicroRNA precursor from Oryza sativa Japonica Group (Japanese rice), 210 nucleotides. It matches the Rfam family "MIR812 microRNA precursor family". The record is from Rfam. Lineage: Eukaryota; Viridiplantae; Streptophyta; Magnoliopsida; Poales; Poaceae.